CCAUCAUCCUCGGUGCUAAACCUG
Molecule: non-coding RNA, 24 nt
Filed under: Arabidopsis thaliana (thale cress)
Lineage: Eukaryota; Viridiplantae; Streptophyta; Magnoliopsida; Brassicales; Brassicaceae
Source: RNAcentral